This is a non-coding RNA of Halocaridina rubra (Hawaiian volcano shrimp), 79 nucleotides long. The record is from the annotation of a GenBank genome assembly. NCBI's taxonomy places the organism in Eukaryota, Metazoa, Arthropoda, Malacostraca, Decapoda, Atyidae.
AACCUCGUGGUGUAAUCAGUAGCACACUCGGCUCACUACCGAGAGAUUUCGGGUUCGAUUCCUGAGCGAGGAGGAAACA